This 1351-nucleotide ribosomal RNA is filed under the name Pseudomonas aeruginosa. RNAcentral's name for it is "partial 23S ribosomal RNA". It matches the Rfam family "Bacterial large subunit ribosomal RNA", at positions 1594 to 2925 of the family's 2925-position model. The record is from RNAcentral. Lineage: Bacteria; Pseudomonadati; Pseudomonadota; Gammaproteobacteria; Pseudomonadales; Pseudomonadaceae.
UUGAUGCCAUGCUUCCAAGAAAAGCUUCUAAGCUUCAGGUAACCAGGAACCGUACCCCAAACCGACACAGGUGGUCGGGUAGAGAAUACCAAGGCGCUUGAGAGAACUCGGGUGAAGGAACUAGGCAAAAUGGCACCGUAACUUCGGGAGAAGGUGCGCCGGCUAGGGUGAAGGAUUUACUCCGUAAGCUCUGGCUGGUCGAAGAUACCAGGCCGCUGCGACUGUUUAUUAAAAACACAGCACUCUGCAAACACGAAAGUGGACGUAUAGGGUGUGACGCCUGCCCGGUGCCGGAAGGUUAAUUGAUGGGGUUAGCGCAAGCGAAGCUCUUGAUCGAAGCCCCGGUAAACGGCGGCCGUAACUAUAACGGUCCUAAGGUAGCGAAAUUCCUUGUCGGGUAAGUUCCGACCUGCACGAAUGGCGUAACGAUGGCGGCGCUGUCUCCACCCGAGACUCAGUGAAAUUGAAAUCGCUGUGAAGAUGCAGUGUAUCCGCGGCUAGACGGAAAGACCCCGUGAACCUUUACUGUAGCUUUGCACUGGACUUUGAGCCUGCUUGUGUAGGAUAGGUGGGAGGCUUUGAAGCGUGGACGCCAGUUCGCGUGGAGCCAUCCUUGAAAUACCACCCUGGCAUGCUUGAGGUUCUAACUCUGGUCCGUGAUCCGGAUCGAGGACAGUGUAUGGUGGGCAGUUUGACUGGGGCGGUCUCCUCCUAAAGAGUAACGGAGGAGUACGAAGGUGCGCUCAGACCGGUCGGAAAUCGGUCGCAGAGUAUAAAGGCAAAAGCGCGCUUGACUGCGAGACAGACACGUCGAGCAGGUACGAAAGUAGGUCUUAGUGAUCCGGUGGUUCUGUAUGGAAGGGCCAUCGCUCAACGGAUAAAAGGUACUCCGGGGAUAACAGGCUGAUACCGCCCAAGAGUUCAUAUCGACGGCGGUGUUUGGCACCUCGAUGUCGGCUCAUCACAUCCUGGGGCUGAAGCCGGUCCCAAGGGUAUGGCUGUUCGCCAUUUAAAGUGGUACGCGAGCUGGGUUUAGAACGUCGUGAGACAGUUCGGUCCCUAUCUGCCGUGGACGUUUGAGAUUUGAGAGGGGCUGCUCCUAGUACGAGAGGACCGGAGUGGACGAACCUCUGGUGUUCCGGUUGUCACGCCAGUGGCAUUGCCGGGUAGCUAUGUUCGGAAAAGAUAACCGCUGAAAGCAUCUAAGCGGGAAACUUGCCUCAAGAUGAGAUCUCACUGGGAACUUGAUUCCCCUGAAGGGCCGUCGAAGACUACGACGUUGAUAGGCUGGGUGUGUAAGCGUUGUGAGGCGUUGAGCUAACCAGUACUAAUUGCCCGUGAGGCUUGACCA